GGCUGGGGUCGGGGGCGGAUGGGGGCGGGCGGGACCAAGGAAAGGGAUCACGAGUCCCCUCGGAUCGUGCUGGACAUCCUGCUGGGUGGCUUGGCAGCGCACUGUUCGGUAACGUCAAGCUUUGCUUUUGGACGCAAAACGGAGAACUCUUGAAAUUGGCCACUCUUGUAAACUGAGGUGCUGAGACAUCCAGCAGUGUUUGAAUGAUGCUUAAAGAUUUAGAAGGUAGAAUGCGGCUGUUCUCCUCUCAGGAGACGGGCAGGAUGAGAGGGAUUGCUGCUGCUCACAGCAUUGUGGUUAUCUACUGGCGUCCUGUAGAACAGGGAUGCAGCCAGUCUUGACAUUUCCUCCAGCACCUGCUGCUACGGCUUCCCUGGCUUCCCUGUCUCCUGGGCCAGGUGCCCGUUUAGCUCCCCGACAAAGGCACCCUGCUGGCGACUUGGAGAUGCAUCCACCAAAGAAUUGAUGCUUUUGAACUGUGGUGUUGGAGAAGACACUUGAGAGUCCC
This is a long non-coding RNA of Cervus elaphus (red deer), 508 nucleotides long. RefSeq lists it as uncharacterized. The record is from RefSeq and is a predicted model, not a curated record. Lineage: Eukaryota; Metazoa; Chordata; Mammalia; Artiodactyla; Cervidae. The transcript is spliced from 3 exons.